RNAcentral lists this ribosomal RNA (733 nucleotides) under Latreutes fucorum. RNAcentral's name for it is "partial large subunit ribosomal RNA". It matches the Rfam family "Eukaryotic large subunit ribosomal RNA", at positions 46 to 655 of the family's 3401-position model. Lineage: Eukaryota; Metazoa; Arthropoda; Malacostraca; Decapoda; Hippolytidae. The record is from RNAcentral.
AUAAGCGGAGGAAAAGAAACCCAAACCGGGAUUCCCUAGUAAGGGCGACUGAAAAGGGAUCAGCCCAGCGCAUAACCUCGCGGUCCUCUGCGGCUGUCGAGGGGUGUUGCGUACAGGUGGAGCCGUACCGUCCGCGCCUCCCACCGCCUAAGUCCUUGCUUAAAAGCAGCCCAGUGCAGGGUGAAAGGCCCGUGUGGCGGCGCCCGUAAAAGGGUUCAAGGCGGCGUGGGCGGAGGGCUCUUACCGGAGAGUCGGGUUGCUUAGUACUGCAGCCCAAAGUAGGUGGUAAACUCCAUCUAAGGCUAAAUAUGACCACGAGUCCGAUAGAGUACAAGUACCGUGAGGGAAAGUUGAAAAGCACUCUGAAGAGAGAGUCAAGAGGACGUGAAACCACUGGUAGCGCAAACGGGUGGAACCGUGAAGGUCGAACGAAGAGGGAGACUCAGCCUGCGGCUUCCGGAGGCGGCCGUUGCCCUCCCUUCCCCUACGUCGGGCUGGGACAUGGCGGCGCGUCGGGCACCGGGACCGCGGGUUUACUUCUCCCCUUUCAGUAGCACGUCGCGAGCAGCCGGGCUAUCCGCCGAUGGCCGCGCACGGAUUGGUAGCCGGGGCCCCUCACGGGGCCGCGGCGAAGACCGCGCCGGUUCUGAGGUGGUCGUCUGGCAUACACUGCGAGGAGGCUCCCCCGAGGAGACUCUCGCGACGGUGAAUCGGUCUCCACCCGACCCGUCUU